Oxyura jamaicensis (ruddy duck) is the source of this 146-nucleotide long non-coding RNA. RefSeq lists it as uncharacterized. NCBI's taxonomy places the organism in Eukaryota, Metazoa, Chordata, Aves, Anseriformes, Anatidae. The transcript is spliced from 3 exons. The record is from RefSeq and is a predicted model, not a curated record.
CAGGUUUAGAUUAGAUAGAAGCCAGAUUUAGAUUAGCUAGAACACAAACUGAGAAAGCUUACCAAUUUCAUCUCAGUUUAGUUGACGAAACACAUCAGAACAAAGAUAGAAAGAAAGAGAGAGAAGAGAAGGAGAGAGAAAGAAAU